Molecule: ribosomal RNA, 488 nt
Filed under: Diomocoris woodwardi
Lineage: Eukaryota; Metazoa; Arthropoda; Insecta; Hemiptera; Miridae
Description: partial large subunit ribosomal RNA
Rfam family: Eukaryotic large subunit ribosomal RNA
Source: RNAcentral
AUUGGGUGUCAAAACCUAAAGGCAUAAUGAAAGUGAAGGAAACUUUGUUUUCGAGGGAGGAUGGGUUCUGUCACUUGUGACGGCCUCGCACUCCCGGGGCGUCUCUAUCUCAUUGCGAGAGGAGGCGCACCUAGAGCGUACACGCUGAUACCCGAAAGAUGGUGAACUAUGCCUGGCCAGGACGAAGCCAGGGGAAACCCUGGUGGAGGUCCGCAGCGAUUCUGACGUGCAAAUCGAUCGUCGGAGCUGGGUUUAGGGGCGAAAGACCAAUCGAACCAUCUAGUAGCUGGUUCCCUCUGAAGUUUCCCUCAGGAUAGCUUGCGCUCGGGAACCAACGAGUCUCAUCCGGUAGAGCGAAUGAUUAGAGGCCUUGGGGUCGAAACGACCUCAACCUAUUCUCAAACUCCAAAUAGAUGAGAACCCCGGCUUUCUUGAACUUUCUUGUGAAGCCGGGGCUCGGAUCAGAGUGCCAAGUGGGCCAAUUUUGG